GAUGAACGCUAGCUACAGGCUUAACACAUGCAAGUCGAGGGGAAACGGCAUUAAGUGCUUGCACUUUUUGGACGUCGACCGGCGCACGGGAGAGUAACGCGUAUCCAACCUUCCCAUGACUAAGGGAUAACCUGCCGAAAGGCAGACUAAUACCUUAUGGUCUUCACUGACGGCAUCAGAUGUGGAGUAAAGAUUUAUCGGUUAUGGAUGGGGAUGCGUCUGAUUAGCUUGUUGGCGGGGUAACGGCCCACCAAGGCAACGAUCAGUAGGGGUUCUGAGAGGAAGGUCCCCCACAUUGGAGCUGAGACACGGUCCAAACUCCUACGGGAGGCAGCAGUGAGGAAUAUUGGUCGAUGGGCGAGAGCCUGAACCAGCCAAGUAGCGUGCAGGAUGACGGCCCUAUGGGUUGUAAGCUGCUUUUGUAUGGGGAUAAAGUCAAUCACGUGUGAUUGUUUGCAGGUACCAUACGAAUAAGGACCGGCUAAUUCCGUG
This 492-nucleotide ribosomal RNA is filed under the name uncultured bacterium. RNAcentral describes it as "partial 16S ribosomal RNA". It matches the Rfam family "Bacterial small subunit ribosomal RNA", at positions 28 to 507 of the family's 1533-position model. The record is from RNAcentral.